RNAcentral lists this ribosomal RNA (1372 nucleotides) under uncultured bacterium. RNAcentral describes it as "bacterial SSU rRNA". It matches the Rfam family "Bacterial small subunit ribosomal RNA", at positions 28 to 1381 of the family's 1533-position model. The record is from RNAcentral.
GAUGAACGCUGGCUGCGUGCCUAAUACAUGCAAGUCGAGCGAACGGACGAGAAGCUUGCUUCUCUGAUGUUAGCGGCGGACGGGUGAGUAACACGUGGAUAACCUACCUAUAAGACUGGGAUAACUUCGGGAAACCGGAGCUAAUACCGGAUAAUAUUUUGAACCGCAUGGUUCAAAAGUGAAAGACGGUCUUGCUGUCACUUAUAGAUGGAUCCGCGCUGCAUUAGCUAGUUGGUAAGGUAACGGCUUACCAAGGCAACGAUGCAUAGCCGACCUGAGAGGGUGAUCGGCCACACUGGAACUGAGACACGGUCCAGACUCCUACGGGAGGCAGCAGUAGGGAAUCUUCCGCAAUGGGCGAAAGCCUGACGGAGCAACGCCGCGUGAGUGAUGAAGGUCUUCGGAUCGUAAAACUCUGUUAUUAGGGAAGAACAUAUGUGUAAGUAACUGUGCACAUCUUGACGGUACCUAAUCAGAAAGCCACGGCUAACUACGUGCCAGCAGCCGCGGUAAUACGUAGGUGGCAAGCGUUAUCCGGAAUUAUUGGGCGUAAAGCGCGCGUAGGCGGUUUUUUAAGUCUGAUGUGAAAGCCCACGGCUCAACCGUGGAGGGUCAUUGGAAACUGGAAAACUUGAGUGCAGAAGAGGAAAGUGGAAUUCCAUGUGUAGCGGUGAAAUGCGCAGAGAUAUGGAGGAACACCAGUGGCGAAGGCGACUUUCUGGUCUGUAACUGACGCUGAUGUGCGAAAGCGUGGGGAUCAAACAGGAUUAGAUACCCUGGUAGUCCACGCCGUAAACGAUGAGUGCUAAGUGUUAGGGGGUUUCCGCCCCUUAGUGCUGCAGCUAACGCAUUAAGCACUCCGCCUGGGGAGUACGACCGCAAGGUUGAAACUCAAAGGAAUUGACGGGGACCCGCACAAGCGGUGGAGCAUGUGGUUUAAUUCGAAGCAACGCGAAGAACCUUACCAAAUCUUGACAUCCUUUGACAACUCUAGAGAUAGAGCUUUCCCCUUCGGGGGACAAAGUGACAGGUGGUGCAUGGUUGUCGUCAGCUCGUGUCGUGAGAUGUUGGGUUAAGUCCCGCAACGAGCGCAACCCUUAAGCUUAGUUGCCAUCAUUAAGUUGGGCACUCUAAGUUGACUGCCGGUGACAAACCGGAGGAAGGUGGGGAUGACGUCAAAUCAUCAUGCCCCUUAUGAUUUGGGCUACACACGUGCUACAAUGGACAAUACAAAGGGCAGCGAAACCGCGAGGUCAAGCAAAUCCCAUAAAGUUGUUCUCAGUUCGGAUUGUAGUCUGCAACUCGACUACAUGAAGCUGGAAUCGCUAGUAAUCGUAGAUCAGCAUGCUACGGUGAAUACGUUCCCGGGUCU